Molecule: ribosomal RNA, 238 nt
Filed under: uncultured Lactobacillus sp.
Lineage: Bacteria; Bacillati; Bacillota; Bacilli; Lactobacillales; Lactobacillaceae
Description: partial 16S ribosomal RNA
Rfam family: Bacterial small subunit ribosomal RNA
Source: RNAcentral
CCGUAGCCCAAGAGAUCGGGAUAACACCUGGAAACAGAUGCUAAUACCGGAUAAUAACAGAUGAUGCCUAUCAACUGUUUAAAAGAUGGUUCUGCUAUCACUCUUGGAUGGACCUGCGGUGCAUUAGCUAGUUGGUAGGGUAACGGCCUACCAAGGCGAUGAUGCAUAGCCGAGUUGAGAGACUGAUCGGCCACAUUGGGACUGAGACACGGCCCAAACUCCUCGGGAGGCAGCAGCC